GACGAACGCUGGCGGCGUGCCUAAUACAUGCAAGUCGAACGCUUCUUUCCUCCCGAGUGCUUGCACUCAAUUGGAAAGAGGAGUGGCGGACGGGUGAGUAACACGUGGGUAACCUACCCGUCAGAGGGGGAUAACACUUGGAAACAGGUGCUAAUACCGCAUAACAGUUUAUGCCGCAUGGCAUAAGAGUGAAAGGCGCUUUCGGGUGUCGCUGAUGGAUGGACCCGCGGUGCAUUAGCUAGUUGGUGAGGUAACGGCUCACCAAGGCCACGAUGCAUAGCCGACCUGAGAGGGUGAUCGGCCACACUGGGACUGAGACACGGCCCAGACUCCUACGGGAGGCAGCAGUAGGGAAUCUUCGGCAAUGGACGAAAGUCUGACCGAGCAACGCCGCGUGAGUGAAGAAGGUUUUCGGAUCGUAAAACUCUGUUGUUAGAGAAGAACAAGGACGUUAGUAACUGAACGUCCCCUGACGGUAUCUAACCAGAAAGCCACGGCUAACUACGUG
This 508-nucleotide ribosomal RNA is filed under the name uncultured bacterium. RNAcentral's name for it is "partial 16S ribosomal RNA". It matches the Rfam family "Bacterial small subunit ribosomal RNA", at positions 28 to 507 of the family's 1533-position model. The record is from RNAcentral.